Molecule: non-coding RNA, 1581 nt
Organism: Oryza sativa Japonica Group (Japanese rice)
Lineage: Eukaryota; Viridiplantae; Streptophyta; Magnoliopsida; Poales; Poaceae
Source: RefSeq, a predicted model, not a curated record
AGGCUUAAAAAUUCUUCUCGCAAAUUAGUCGCAAUCUGUGCAAUUAGUUAUUUUUUUAGCCUAUAUUUAAUACUUUAAAACAUUUCCUUUUUUUUAUGGUGAGGCCCACCUGUUGUAUAUGCUCUAUCACCUCCUCAUCCCCUCUUCCACUCUCUCUUCUCAUGCCGUCGGUCUCUCUCUCUCUCUCUCUCUCCGCCUCUCUUUCUCGGGCCGUCGGGCGCAGGUUGAGCGGCGGCGGGCAGGCAGCGCGCACAGCGGCGCGCGGGGGAGGGUGGUGGGCGACAACGACGGGUCGACGAGCGUGUGGCAUGACAUGCCCGUGUGUCUCCUCGUCCUCGGCUUCUCCCUCCACGUGUCAUCGCCUGGCUCCGAGUGAUGGGCGGCGGUGACGAGCGUGGCGGCGGCGGUGGCAGCGUUCAUGGCGAUGUUCACGCUGGGAUACGAGUCGGGAGGGUCGCGCUAGGGCUCACCAUCGACACGCCGAGGGGGCAGCGCUCGGCCGGCUCCGGUGGUGGCGGUGGCGGUGAGGACGGCGUGACGUGGAGCAAGGCGGUUGCGGCGACAACAGCGGGAUGUGGAGCAAGGCGGCGGCGGCGGCGACGACGACGGCAGCGGGAUCCUCCUUCCCCAUCGUCACGCGACGCGAAGCUCGGACACGCCGGUGCUACUGCACCGCCCCCUUUCCUUCCCUGCGCGGAGCCCACCGACCAGUUCCCCUCCUCGUUUCGCGCCGCCGCCCACUGCCCACCCCACGUGUAGCCGUCCGCCGCCAGAGCGAGCCCCACCUCCCCCGUCGGCCACUCGAGCUACCUCCUCCUCCAUCGGCCGCCCGAGCGACCUCCACCUCCGCCACAGCCGCCAGCGCCCGAGCAAGCUCUGCCUACCCUUGCCCCCACCCUCGCCCGUCCAUCGCUAUUCUCGGUGCCGCCGUGGUGGUGAGCUGGUGAGGGGAGGGAGAAGAGAGAGAGGGGGAGAGAUUGGGGAUAGAGAUAGAGUAGAGAGAGAUAGAGAGGAGUAGGAACUAACAGGUGGGACCCAUCGUUUUUUAUUAAAAGAACUGCUGACUGAACUACCAUGUAUGACUAAAACCACCGUAGAUUGAGCUGGGGGGUUAUUUAUCCAGUUUAUAUAGUUGGGGGUGAAGGAUGUCCGGUUUUGUGGUUCGGGGAGUAAUUCAGUCGACCGUGAUAGUUCGAGAGGUGGUAUGUAAGAAAUGAGAUGAUGUUCACUCGAAGGAUGAAAAACCAUCUUCACAUAUCAUCUCAUAUGUUCAAUUUUUUUCUAUGUUCAAUAGUUGUUGUCAAGAUAUUGCGGAUAGAUAUACAAACAGAUAUACCUCCCACUCAGGUAAAAUAUUGCAACCAAAAGUUGUUAUCGGUAGGGAUGAAAACGAUAGCGGUAAUUACUAACCGGCCAAGUUGCUGUUUCCGAAGUUUACCGACUGAAUAAUACGGAAAUGAUAAUUCCUGGAAACGGAAGCGGUAAAAAAAUACAAAAAAUGGUUUGGUGAUUUGCCAACCGUUUUGUUCGAUUACUGUAUUAUUAUUAUUAUGGUAAUUACUGUUUACAUAUUUUGGUAAA